RNAcentral lists this ribosomal RNA (542 nucleotides) under Bacillus velezensis. RNAcentral describes it as "bacterial SSU rRNA". It matches the Rfam family "Bacterial small subunit ribosomal RNA", at positions 121 to 648 of the family's 1533-position model. Lineage: Bacteria; Bacillati; Bacillota; Bacilli; Caryophanales; Bacillaceae. RNAcentral also lists the same sequence under 1 other name. The record is from RNAcentral.
GUAACCUGCCUGUAAGACUGGGAUAACUCCGGGAAACCGGGGCUAAUACCGGAUGGUUGUUUGAACCGCAUGGUUCAGACAUAAAAGGUGGCUUCGGCUACCACUUACAGAUGGACCCGCGGCGCAUUAGCUAGUUGGUGAGGUAACGGCUCACCAAGGCAACGAUGCGUAGCCGACCUGAGAGGGUGAUCGGCCACACUGGGACUGAGACACGGCCCAGACUCCUACGGGAGGCAGCAGUAGGGAAUCUUCCGCAAUGGACGAAAGUCUGACGGAGCAACGCCGCGUGAGUGAUGAAGGUUUUCGGAUCGUAAAGCUCUGUUGUUAGGGAAGAACAAGUGCCGUUCAAAUAGGGCGGCACCUUGACGGUACCUAACCAGAAAGCCACGGCUAACUACGUGCCAGCAGCCGCGGUAAUACGUAGGUGGCAAGCGUUGUCCGGAAUUAUUGGGCGUAAAGGGCUCGCAGGCGGUUUCUUAAGUCUGAUGUGAAAGCCCCCGGCUCAACCGGGGAGGGUCAUUGGAAACUGGGGAACUUGAGUG